Molecule: ribosomal RNA, 467 nt
Filed under: uncultured bacterium
Lineage: Bacteria
Description: partial 16S ribosomal RNA
Rfam family: Bacterial small subunit ribosomal RNA
Source: RNAcentral
GACGAACGCUGGCGGCGUGCUUAACACAUGCAAGUCGAACGGAAAGGCCAUGAUUUUGUGGGUUGCUUGAGUGGCGAACGGGUGAGUAACACGUGAGUAACAUGCCCUUGACUUUGGGAUAACUCCAGGAAACUGGGGCUCAAACAGGAUAGGAGCUCUUGAUGCACGGGGGGGGUUGGAAAGUUGCGGCGGUUGGGGCAGGACUCGCGGCUUCUCAGCUUGUUGGUGGGGUUGUGGAUUACAAAGGUUUUGACGGGUAGCCGGCCUGGGAGGGUGACCGGCUACAGUGGCAUAGGGAUACGGCCCAUACGCCAACGGGCGGAAGCGGUGGGGACUAUUGCACAAUGGGCGGAGUCCGUAUGCAGCAACGCCGGGUGCGGGAUGACGGCCUUCGGGUUGUAAACCGCUUGCGCCUGUGACGAAGCGUGAGGGACGUAAAUGGGUAAAAAAGCACCGGCAACCUACGG